CUUGGUCAUUUAGAGGAAGUAAAAGUCGUAACAAGGUUUCCGUAGGUGAACCUGCGGAAGGAUCAUUAGUGAUUAAACUGUUGCCCUCUGUGCUGGCUCUGCAAGUGCACGUCGGUGACUUUCAUUCCAAUACCCUUGUGAACCUUUGGCCUCUUGCUAGCUUCGGCUGGCAGAGGAUUCUACAUACAAACUCGCAUGUAAUGAAACUCUUGUUGUGCACAAGCACUACUAUACAACUUUCAACAACGGAUCUCUUGGCUCUCGCAUCGAUGAAGAACGCAGCGAAAUGCGAUAAGUAAUGUGAAUUGCAGAAUUCAGUGAAUCAUCGAAUCUUUGAACGCACCUUGCACCCUUUGGCAUUCUGAAGGGUAUGCUCGUUUGAGUGUCAUUGUACUCUCACACUUCCGAUCUUGCAUUGGGAGCGGUGGACUUGGGUUUGCUGCCUUACCGUAGCUUACCUCAAAUGUGUUAGUGCAGCUCUUGGUUGGACAUAGUACGGCGUGAUAAGUAUCUUCGCCGGUGCCUCGCAAUUGCGAGGGUGGCCGAUCGGGAUGUUGUGCUCCAAACCGUCUUCGGACAAUCUCUGACAACUUGACCUCAAAUCGAGUAAGACUACCCGCUGAACUUAAGCAUAUCAAUAA
RNAcentral lists this small RNA (641 nucleotides) under uncultured fungus. RNAcentral's name for it is "eukaryotic LSU rRNA". The stretch from base 235 to 388 matches the Rfam family "5.8S ribosomal RNA". Lineage: Eukaryota; Fungi. The record is from RNAcentral.